Molecule: ribosomal RNA, 474 nt
Filed under: uncultured organism
Description: partial 16S ribosomal RNA
Rfam family: Bacterial small subunit ribosomal RNA
Source: RNAcentral
ACUCCUACGGGAGGCAGCAGUGGGGAAUUUUGGACAAUGGGCGAAAGCCUGAUCCAGCAAUGCCGCGUGUGUGAAGAAGGCCUUCGGGUUGUAAAGCACUUUUGUCCGGAAAGAAAUCCUUGGCUCUAAUACAGUCGGGGGAUGACGGUACCGGAAGAAUAAGCACCGGCUAACUACGUGCCAGCAGCCGCGGUAAUACGUAGGGUGCGAGCGUUAAUCGGAAUUACUGGGCGUAAAGCGUGCGCAGGCGGUUUGCUAAGACCGAUGUGAAAUCCCCGGGCUCAACCUGGGAACUGCAUUGGUGACUGGCAGGCUAGAGUAUGGCAGAGGGGGGUAGAAUUCCACGUGUAGCAGUGAAAUGCGUAGAGAUGUGGAGGAAUACCGAUGGCGAAGGCAGCCCCCUGGGCCAAUACUGACGCUCAUGCACGAAAGCGUGGGGAGCAAACAGGAUUAGAUACCCCGGUAGUCCCAUGA